Long non-coding RNA from Mizuhopecten yessoensis (Yesso scallop), 554 nucleotides. RefSeq lists it as uncharacterized. The record is from RefSeq and is a predicted model, not a curated record. Lineage: Eukaryota; Metazoa; Mollusca; Bivalvia; Pectinida; Pectinidae. The transcript has 4 exons.
CUCUUGAAAACACCGACGUGACCAAAGGAAGGAAGGAUAUCACCGAUACGAUGUCUCGUCGAUGCAAAUCCAAGACCCAGAUGUCUGAUGACGUAGGUGCGUUCGCUGAUACACUCUGGAAUGGAACCGCGGCUGUUCGAAACUUAAUCUUGACUGAUGAUUUUAUCCGGCAUAUAAUUAGUGGGUAGUUAUAUUCAUCCAAAUUCGAUCCACAUGGGCGUUUACAGAAGAUGGGCGACAUUGGCCCUUGACCCACAGAACAUUGCAUACGAAGCUGUACUAACUGCUCUCAAUGCUGCCUUUGCUAGGAAUAUCAUCGAUUUGCCGACAGCACAGAAUAUAUUUAAUACAAGUAUGCAAUGUGAGAGGGACUUUUUCACAGCAUUUGUCUAGAGAGAUACUGAUUAUUGUAUGUCUCCAGUUUCUUGUUGGCUGUCUUAAACUCAAAGCAUGCUAACUGUUUUUUUAGUUAUUGCUUGUGAUGCAUGGAUAGAGCUUGGAUAACUUAAUAUUAUUCGUGACAUCCAUAUUGUCAAUUGUAUUUUUAACGUUAC